ACGUUUCCUUGUGUCCAGGAUGGACGGUGGGCGACUGUACGAUAGUUCCAUUGAUACUGAUAUAUAAGACACGAGUUGUGCAAGUUUUGGUAUUUCAUCUUCGGAUGGAUCGGUAUUCCUUAACAGGAAUCUCCUAAAGUCCUCUUGCCGUUCACCACUAACCCACAGACUGUAACCCUUAUAUCGCGACCAGUCUCCUUGCCUUCAUAUUCUUAACAGGUUAUGAGCCCCGGCUCACGCUAGUAGCUUACAUAGCUAACGCGAAGAAGGCAUAGGACGCCUGCAAGCAACUACAGUUGGACUUUUUGGGAGUAGGACACGAUUUCAGCGAUUCUGAGCGGGCACACACUUUGCUUGUUGGUUUGCCCAGCCGCUUCAGCAUGGUAACUACAUCCCUACUGGUGCGUGACGGCAAUUCGGACGUGGCUAUCGUCACCUCGAAGUUCUUGACUAUCGAGAUGGCAAGCGGUGGGUCUGGUAAGCCUACCGAGUUGGCAGCUUUUGCUUCUGUCGGCAGUUUUUCGUUUGGCGCCGCUGGUUUUGGUCUUGGGGAUCGUGGCGCGGCCAGCAACAGUUCUGCCCGUCAUGACCAAAAGGCGUGGUUUGCAGCCUCUAUUGCGGCCCGUAGGGCCGCGCGCUGGUGUGUUUGACAUCGGAUCUUUCUUAGGUUUACUGACCAAAAUUAUGCCCUUCCGCAGCCGUAAAAUCGAUUUGCUGACCUCUGGUUGUCAUUAUAGCUUAUUUGCUUUUAGAUUUAAUUGAUACAGGCGAUGGUGAAGCGUGGACUAGUUAGCAUUCAACGUUUUCUCUCUCUUUCUUCUGUGGUGCGACUGAAGCUCUACUAAAGGCGUGUAUUCAGUUCGGAUUCAGGCGGUUUUAGGAUGAUGGCUGUGUUCCACGGCAUCGAUUAUCGCAGCCUCAAUCGCCGGAGAAACUGGCCACUUAGGACUUGACAGGGCUGCGCUUAGUGGGCGUGACAUCCCACUUCCAACUCUACCUUCUCAUUUCCCCAUGUUCGUGCGCACUGCGUUGGCACUUUCGGGCGCAACGCAGAACGCACUUCGCCUCAGCCAAAGGAAACAGAAAUCGAGACAAGAAUCCACGAAAGCACCCACGGCCAAAGAUGAUUUCUAAAAGCACCGCAAUUCAACAUGUUUAUAAUAUGCAGUAUGGUUAGGCAUCUGCAAACAUAAGAUGCGCCAUUUUGUUGUCUAUGGGCACUAGCAGAUGUAGCUAUGCAAUACAGUGAAGUAAGUUUCAAAUUGGGCAAAGUGCAAAGGCAAA
RNAcentral lists this long non-coding RNA (1284 nucleotides) under Volvox carteri. RNAcentral's name for it is "long non-coding RNA (VCAR_LNC004269)". The record is from RNAcentral. Lineage: Eukaryota; Viridiplantae; Chlorophyta; Chlorophyceae; Chlamydomonadales; Volvocaceae.